Molecule: unclassified non-coding RNA, 208 nt
Filed under: Hevea brasiliensis (rubber tree)
Lineage: Eukaryota; Viridiplantae; Streptophyta; Magnoliopsida; Malpighiales; Euphorbiaceae
Source: RNAcentral
CUAUUUCACAUGAAAUAAUAAUAACAACAAUAAUUAUUUUCAAAGUAACUAUGAUCUUGUCUAUCAUGCAUAACAAAUUUAAGAGCUAUCGCCUAUCAGAUGCGAAAAGGCCACAUAAUAGUGCCAAAGUUUUCCAUGUGAACCAAGUAAUAUUAACAGCAAAAUACAUCAACGUAAAUCACCUAUUAAUAAACUCUGUACCUUAAUU